This 308-nucleotide ribosomal RNA is filed under the name uncultured bacterium. Its description in RNAcentral is "bacterial SSU rRNA". It matches the Rfam family "Bacterial small subunit ribosomal RNA", at positions 28 to 334 of the family's 1533-position model. The record is from RNAcentral.
GACGAACGCUGGCGGCGCGCCUAACACAUGCAAGUCGAACGAGCGAGAGAGAGCUUGCUUUCUCGAGCGAGUGGCGAACGGGUGAGUAACGCGUGAGGAACCUGCCUCAAAGAGGGGGACAACAGUUGAAAUGACUGCUAAUACCGCAUAAGCGCACAGUGCUGCAUGGCACAGUGUGAAAAACUCCGGUGGUAUGAGAUGGACCCGCGUCUGAUUAGCUAGUUGGUGAGGUAACGGCCCACCAAGGCGACGAUCGGUAGCCGGACUGAGAGGUUGAACGGCCACAUUGGGACUGAGACACGGCCCAG